This 347-nucleotide long non-coding RNA is filed under the name Citrus sinensis (sweet orange). RNAcentral describes it as "long non-coding RNA (CSIN_LNC002873)". Lineage: Eukaryota; Viridiplantae; Streptophyta; Magnoliopsida; Sapindales; Rutaceae. The record is from RNAcentral.
AACUUACAACUGCCUCUGUAAGCAAUUGUAGGCUACUCAGAUAAAUUUGCUUUCUUUAGCUUUUCACAAAGAUUAUUUAUUUUUCAAGACUUAGUGUGGGUGAUUUUUUAUUAUCAUGUCCUACAAUGCUGAUAAGAGAGAGGGAUCACUGCAAAACAAACAACAUCUUAAUGGAAUAAAUUUUAUGCAAAAUUUUGAUGUAAAUUAAUUUUUUGUCUUUUGCUUGGAUUGCACAGCUUGUUGUAGGUGAUUGGUGAAUUUGUUGUAUAUUCUUUUCAUACCUGUUUAAAUGGUAUUUGUUGAAGAAUGACUAGACAGAGAUCUUAGACCUGCCCAGUAAUCUUCAA